This 460-nucleotide ribosomal RNA is filed under the name uncultured bacterium. RNAcentral's name for it is "partial 16S ribosomal RNA". It matches the Rfam family "Bacterial small subunit ribosomal RNA", at positions 338 to 795 of the family's 1533-position model. The record is from RNAcentral.
CCUAUGGGAGGCAGCAGUGAGGAAUAUUGGUCAAUGGGCGAGAGCCUGAACCAGCCAAGUCGCGUGAGGGAAGACGGUCCUACGGAUUGUAAACCUCUUUUGUCAGGGAGCAAGGAGCGCCACGAGUGGUGCGGCGAGAGUACCUGAAGAAAAAGCAUCGGCUAACUCCGUGCCAGUAGCCGCGGUAAUACGGAGGAUGCGAGCGUUAUCCGGAUUUAUUGGGUUUAAAGGGUGCGCAGGCGGAAGCGGCAAGUCAGCGGUAAAAUUGCGGGGCUCAACCUCGCCGAGCCGUUGAAACUGCUCUUCUAGAGUGGGCGAGAAGUAUGCGGAAUGCGUGGUGUAGCGGUGAAAUGCAUAGAUAUCACGAGGAACCCCGAUUGCGAAGGCAGCCUGCCGGGGUGCGACUGACGCUGAGGCUCGAAGGUGCGGGUAUCAAACAGGAUUAGAUACCCCGGUAGUC